RNAcentral lists this ribosomal RNA (253 nucleotides) under uncultured bacterium. RNAcentral describes it as "partial 16S ribosomal RNA". It matches the Rfam family "Bacterial small subunit ribosomal RNA", at positions 524 to 776 of the family's 1533-position model. The record is from RNAcentral.
UACGGAGGGUGCAAGCGUUGCUCGGAAUUAUUGGGCGUAAAGGGUAGGUAGGUGGUCUCAUUUGUCUGGGGUGAAAGCCUUGAGCUUAACUCAAGAAGUGCCCCAGAAACGGUGAGACUAGAGUCCUGGAGAGGGUCGUGGAAUUCCCGGUGUAGCGGUGAAAUGCGUAGAGAUCGGGAGGAACACCUGAGGCGAAGGCGGCGACCUGGACAGGCACUGACACUCAACUACGAAAGCGUGGGGAGCAAACAGG